CCCAAAAGAGGGGAGUCGGAAACUAAACCCCCCCUCCAAUUUUAAACCUUUCCCCCCAAUCAUAAAAAAACCCCAUCCCUGAGUUUUAAUUAAAUUUUUAAAAAGGAAAAAAAACUGGCGGUGUCCCUCCUUUAACAAAAAAAAAUCCCUUCGGGGUUUUCCAAAAACACCCCUUAAAAAAAAAUUUGGCCGGCCGAUGGGGGGUCCCUUUGGGCCUUAGCUCAACGUGGGAGACGCCCUCUUUCCAAACCGGGGGUUGUGGGUUUGAAUCCCGCCAGGCUCCCCCCAUUUUAAUUUGGUUCCGGAAAGUUUUUCCGGGUCUGUAGCUCAGGUGGUUAGAGCCCCACCCCUGAUAAGGGUGAGGUCGGUAGUUCGAGUCCUACCCAGACCCACCAUUCUCUGAAAUGACGCAUACCAUUCGAUCUUUAUACGCAUCAGCACUGUGGCUGGUACGUGUUCUUUUAAAACUUGUGACGUAGCGAGCGUUGAGAUGUUCUAUCAGACGUGUCGUGAGGCUAAGGCGAGAGACGCAAGUCUCUUUAUUGAUUGAGUCGUUAUAUUCGUAUCCGGGCUUGUACCCCCGGGUCAUGUUACCAAGCACUGCGUUAUGCCUGC
RNAcentral lists this unclassified non-coding RNA (615 nucleotides) under Sphingomonas sp. SLAU-17. RNAcentral describes it as "partial 16S-23S ribosomal RNA intergenic spacer". The stretch from base 317 to 391 matches the Rfam family "tRNA". The record is from RNAcentral. Lineage: Bacteria; Pseudomonadati; Pseudomonadota; Alphaproteobacteria; Sphingomonadales; Sphingomonadaceae.